GUAGACAAAUGAUGUCCUUUUAUCACGACGGUCAACUGAAGCCCAAGAUACGUGGCAUUGAUGACCUUUGCCGGUGACACGGCCUUUUUCACUGAUG
RNAcentral lists this small nucleolar RNA (97 nucleotides) under Blastobotrys adeninivorans. Its description in RNAcentral is "snR73". It matches the Rfam family "Small nucleolar RNA snR73". Lineage: Eukaryota; Fungi; Ascomycota; Dipodascomycetes; Dipodascales; Trichomonascaceae. The record is from RNAcentral.